Long non-coding RNA from Perca fluviatilis (European perch), 228 nucleotides. RefSeq lists it as uncharacterized. The record is from RefSeq and is a predicted model, not a curated record. NCBI's taxonomy places the organism in Eukaryota, Metazoa, Chordata, Actinopteri, Perciformes, Percidae. The transcript has 2 exons.
AUUUUCCCAUGAUGUCAAAGAAAGAGGCUCUGUGUUUGAGGUGUGCCUUUAUAUGCAUCCACAGGCGUGCCACCAAUUAACUCAAAUGGAGAUCUAAAACAGAAAAAGUUUACUCGGAUUUCAUGUAUGACAGUAAAGAAAUAAAAGUUUACUGAUAAGUUUUCUGAAGUGUAUGUAAAUAUCUGGUUUCAACUGUAUAUCAAUAAAUCAUAUGUUUUGCUAUGUUAA